RNAcentral lists this non-coding RNA (165 nucleotides) under Streptomyces gancidicus BKS 13-15. RNAcentral's name for it is "Streptomyces sRNA 4677". It matches the Rfam family "Streptomyces sRNA 4677", at positions 1 to 201 of the family's 246-position model. Rfam says of the family: Located in the intergenic region between anti-sigma factor SCO4677 gene and a putative regulatory protein gene SCO4676. scr4677 expression requires the SCO4677 activity and scr4677 sRNA itself seem to affect the levels of the SCO4676-associated transcripts. Lineage: Bacteria; Bacillati; Actinomycetota; Actinomycetes; Kitasatosporales; Streptomycetaceae. The record is from Rfam by way of RNAcentral.
AACUCCGGUGCCGCCCGAAGCAGGAGAUCACUCGGACAGGUGAACAUCAGCCGCUCGGCUGCGUUUUCACGUCCUCGGCACCUCUACGCUCAGCGCGACACGACCCGAAAAGGACUUCGACCCUCGCCGGGAUUCGCGCCUUCGCGCCCAGUCACCCGCUGACAG